AGGGAAUACUGGACAAUGGGGGCAACCCUGAUCCAGCCAUGCCGCGUGAGUGAAGAAGGCCCUCGGGUUGUAAAGCUCUUUUGUCCGGAAAGAAAAGCUUCGGGUUAAUACCCCGGGGUUCUGACGGUACCGGAAGAAUACGCACCGGCUAACUUCGUGCCAGCAGCCGCGGUAAUACGAAGGGUGCAAGCGUUACUCGGAAUUACUGGGCGUAAAGCGUGCGUAGGUGGUCGUUUAAGUCUGAUGUGAAAGCCCUGGGCUCAACCGGGGGAUGGCAUUGGNAACUGGGCAGAGAGAGUGCGGUAGAGGGUAGUGAAAUUCCCGGUGUAGCAGUGAAAUGCGUAGAGAUCGGGAGGAACAUCUGUGGCGAAGGCGACUGCCUGGACCAGCACUGACACUGAGGCACGAAAGCGUGGGGAGCAAACA
This 426-nucleotide ribosomal RNA is filed under the name uncultured bacterium. RNAcentral describes it as "bacterial SSU rRNA". It matches the Rfam family "Bacterial small subunit ribosomal RNA", at positions 356 to 774 of the family's 1533-position model. The record is from RNAcentral.